This 62-nucleotide small nuclear RNA is filed under the name Otolemur garnettii (small-eared galago). Its description in RNAcentral is "U7 small nuclear RNA". It matches the Rfam family "U7 small nuclear RNA". From Rfam's summary of the family: Animal histone pre-mRNAs are spliced by a different mechanism than nuclear pre-mRNAs and self-splicing introns. This processing involves the U7 snRNP, which contains only one RNA species: U7. Lineage: Eukaryota; Metazoa; Chordata; Mammalia; Primates; Galagidae. The record is from Rfam by way of RNAcentral.
UAGUGUUACAGCUCUUUUAGAACUUGUCUGGCAGGUUUUCUAGUGCUCACCAAAAGACCCCU